Molecule: non-coding RNA, 1955 nt
Organism: Microcebus murinus (gray mouse lemur)
Lineage: Eukaryota; Metazoa; Chordata; Mammalia; Primates; Cheirogaleidae
Source: RefSeq, a predicted model, not a curated record
UGCUGUCCUCCUUGCAGCUCUGCUCAAAGUCAAAGAGGAAAGGGCUAUUUGAGAUCACUCACUGUGUUUGUCAGGAUUUCCCAGAGAAACAGAACCAACAGGAUGUGUAUUUAUAGAAAGAGAUUUAUUAUAAGGAAUUGGCUGAUGCGCUUAUGGAAGCUGGCAAGUUCAAAAUCUGCAGUGUGGUCAGCAGGCUAGAGACUCAGGAGAGCUGAUGAUAUGGACGAAGUCUGAAGGCAGUUCGCUGGAAAAUUCCCUCUUGCUCAUGAAGGCCAGUCUUUGUUCCAGUCAGGCCUUGAACUGAUGGAUGAGGCCCAUCCACAUUAGGGAGGGCAAUCUGCUUUACCCAAAGUUUACUGAUUUAAAUGUUAAUCCUUUCCAAAACACCCUCUAGUUCGCAUAUAAAAUUAACUAUCACUCAUACCUAUUCCCUCCAAUGACCUGGUAGAGCUGACAGCUUUCUCUUAGUCUUUUGAGUGCCACCUUCAUGAUUUUUGCAAUAUCUGUGUGUUGUGUAUUUAAUAUUUCCUUUAAACCAAUGUUAACUACUCAAAAAUUUAGCCUGUACUAAAACAAUAUUCGAGAUAAAGGGCUUGCUGUACUGGUUUUAAUUUUUUUUCUAAUACACGCAAGAAUAAAUACUCUUAGACAUUUUUAAAAGGUGCACGUAGUACCUAAAACCAUCUUGCUACCCCAUUUGGUCAACAACGUAACCAAGGCUGUCCCCGGGGGACCAAGGUGCCCGAGGCUUCUGCAGGCCACCAGGGGGCGGAUUUAUCCAUCGCCUGAAACCCUUAUUUAUGGGAUAGGGGUGGAGGCUGAGGGAAGUCUUCUCCAGGUCCAACCCAGGCACAGGACAGAGGGAGGAACCCUGGGAGUUAUCCCACCAACAGGGUGCGCUCCACGACGCUGCGGCCCCUGGAGGGACUGCCGAGAGCUCCGACAUCCGGGGAACCUUGGGAGCUCAGGACAGGGCUCUGCGCGCCAAGGCCCCAUUCUCCGUUAGGGGCACAGGGGCUGCCCCACACGGGGACAGGGCUGCCGGGACCCAUCGCAGAGGUGCGGUGUGAACACCCUCCCAGAUCACGGAGGAUGCUCAGAGCGGCGGCCUCCCCCGGAAGAGGUGGUGGGAGCCGUGGAAUGGCAGGGUGGAAGGGUCCGUCGGCUGGUCUCUUUCGCAGUCCCUCCGGCCACUCUGGGACAGUGAUUUUGUUAACAGCAAAAGUGCCUCCCUCAGGCACUGGUCUUCAGCUGCCGGACUCGCUCGCACAGCCUGGCGUUCCCGCUGAGGGAAGUAGAGAAAGCUACUUCCGGCAGAGGGGCUGCACUUCCGGGCCCGCGUUCCUGGCGGAUGUAGCCAGGAAGGGCCACUGGGGGCUUGAGGGCCCCAGCUCCUGUCUCAGUGCGGAGAGCUCCCUGGUGGCCUUCCAGAGGAGCAGGCUGUAUCCUCCUUAUUCUGGUGUGACCCGAAUGAAACGGAGUGGACUUGAGGAUCCAGAAUCCCGGACUGAGGAAAAACUGUUAAAAUCAUCAGGUUACCAUAGCAUGAUACAGUAACAAUUGGAGAAUAAAACUCCCUUGCUUUAAAGCUCAUCUAUUAAAAAUAACCUCUGAUAUCUCUUGGAUGAAUCUAUCCAAUGGAAGGGAACAUCUCAUGCUGCAACAUUAUGGUUCUUAGAUUCUGGAGUCAUAACAAAGAGAAGAGAAAACAACUAGGCAUUUAUAAGGAAUUUUGUUUUUAUCUCUUACUUGAAAAAUUUCUUGCUCCUGACUGCUUGAAGUUUGGAAAGCAAAGAAUAAGGUACCUACUAUCCUGAAUUUGGUGUUUAUCAUUCCCAUAAAGAUUUUAUAUUUACCAAGUAUGUAUUAACCAUAUGGUUAAUAUAUGGUAUUGUUAUGUAUAUUGUAAGUCUGUAUAAAUGGUAUCACACCAUAUAUACAUGUUUUAUAACUUU